RNAcentral lists this ribosomal RNA (279 nucleotides) under uncultured bacterium. RNAcentral describes it as "partial 16S ribosomal RNA". It matches the Rfam family "Bacterial small subunit ribosomal RNA", at positions 506 to 784 of the family's 1533-position model. The record is from RNAcentral.
UGCCAGCCGCCGCGGUAAUACGUAUGUGGCAAGCGUUGUCCGGAAUUACUGGGCGUAAAGCGCGCGUAGGCGGAUUUGUAAGUCAGGUGUGAAAUCCCACAGCUUAACUGUGGAACUGCGCUUGAAACUACUUAUCUUGAGUCCGAUAGAGGAAAGGAGAAUUUCACAUGUAGGGGUAAAAUCCGUAGAGAUGUGAAGGAACGCUCGAGGCGAAAGCGCCUUCCUGGAUGAGUAUUGACGCUGAGGCGCGAAAGCGUGGGGAGCAAACAGGAUUAGAUA